CCGCGGGAUGGAGCAGUAGGUAGCUCGUCGGGCUCAUAACCCGAAGGUCAUCGGUUCGAGUCCGAAAAAAAUACACCGCGGG
RNAcentral lists this transfer RNA (82 nucleotides) under Chryseobacterium sp. JM1. RNAcentral's name for it is "tRNA-Met". The stretch from base 9 to 66 matches the Rfam family "tRNA", at positions 8 to 63 of the family's 71-position model. From Rfam's summary of the family: Transfer RNA (tRNA) molecules are approximately 80 nucleotides in length. Their secondary structure includes four short double-helical elements and three loops (D, anti-codon, and T loops). Further hydrogen bonds mediate the characteristic L-shaped molecular structure. tRNAs have two regions of fundamental functional importance: the anti-codon, which is responsible for specific mRNA codon recognition, and the 3' end, to which the tRNAs corresponding amino acid is attached (by aminoacyl-tRNA synthetases). tRNAs cope with the degeneracy of the genetic code in two manners: having more than one tRNA (with a specific anti-codon) for a particular amino acid; and 'wobble' base-pairing, i.e. permitting non-standard base-pairing at the 3rd anti-codon position. Lineage: Bacteria; Pseudomonadati; Bacteroidota; Flavobacteriia; Flavobacteriales; Weeksellaceae. The record is from RNAcentral.